GUACCUUCAAGCUAUGCUUGGUGAUGGGUGUUUGUCCUGUUCUUUUGUAACUGGACUCGCCUUAAAAUUAUUGGCAGCCGGCAUAUUGGCCUUUGGAGCGCAGCACAUUUUGCGAUCUAAGCCUGUAUACUAGUAUCCAUAAAGCUAAUUUAUCAC
Molecule: unclassified non-coding RNA, 156 nt
Filed under: uncultured Setophoma
Lineage: Eukaryota; Fungi; Ascomycota; Dothideomycetes; Pleosporales; Phaeosphaeriaceae
Description: sequence contains ITS2
Source: RNAcentral